UUUUGCGGAAGUGUAAUCAUACUAAAAUAAGGAAGUGUCACUUCCAUACCGUACAUGCAGAGCUGUGUCUAAGUAUUUAACUUACAUACAUUCCCAGGCUAAACUUAAAUCAUACAUAACUUCAGGACGUAAAUCGGGUCUAGCCCACAAAAUACAUAACAAGCCCUCGGGCAAUCAAGACUACAAUCUAUGCUUCAACCUCGUCCUAUGGUUCUUCACUUUGGCU
Molecule: long non-coding RNA, 226 nt
Filed under: Actinidia chinensis (golden kiwifruit)
Lineage: Eukaryota; Viridiplantae; Streptophyta; Magnoliopsida; Ericales; Actinidiaceae
Description: long non-coding RNA (ACHI_LNC002529)
Source: RNAcentral